RNAcentral lists this ribosomal RNA (459 nucleotides) under uncultured bacterium. RNAcentral's name for it is "partial 16S ribosomal RNA". It matches the Rfam family "Bacterial small subunit ribosomal RNA", at positions 338 to 795 of the family's 1533-position model. The record is from RNAcentral.
CCUACGGGUGGCAGCAGUGAGGAAUAUUGGUCAAUGGCCGUAAGGCUGAACCAGCCAAGCCGCGUGAAGGAAGAAGGAUCUAUGGUUUGUAAACUUCUUUUGUCAAGGGACAAAAUCAGGCUCGAGAGCCUGAACCAGGGUACUUGAAGAAAAAGCAUCGGGUAACUCCGCGCCAGCCGCCGCGGUCAAACGGAGGAUGCGAGCGUUAUCCGGAUUUAUUGGGUUUAAAGGGUGGGUAGGCGGGCUGUUAAGUAAGCGGUAAAAGCCCGGGGCUCAACCCCGUCGAGCCGUUGAAACUGGCUGUCUUGAGAUGUCGAGAGGUAUGCGGAAUGCGCAGUGUAGCGGUGAAAUGCUUAGAUAUUGCGCAGAACUCCGAUUGCGAAGGCAGCAUACCGGCGGCGAUCUGACGCUGAGGCACGAAAGCGUGGGUAUCGAACAGGAUUAGAUACCCCAGUAGUC